GUGCUCAUUUGUCUCCCUGAUAUUUAUCGAGCACCUAUUUUGUUCCAAGCACCGUGCCAGGAGCUGAGUAGGCACUGGUGUACAAAAGACAGGCCCCGGCACUUUUGGAGCUUAUCAUCUAUUAGGAGAGACGGGGAAUAAAUGUACGUAGCAAAUGUCCAGUUCCAACUGAGAGACGUUCUGUGAAGAAGAAGAACAGGGUGAAGUGAUAGAAAAUAAACCUGAGGGUUGGGGAGAGGGGGCUUCCACCAAUGGAGUCUGAUCCCAAAUGCUGUUCCUCUGUUCAAAAUUACCUUCUCACCCUCCCUUUCACUUCCCUGGGGGCAAAUCUCUGAAGCUGCCCUCUUUGAAGCAGGGAUCUCCCUCAGCUUCCUUCAGGAAGAAUUAAUUGCCUCAUGGACAAAAAGGCAAAUACAUGGUGACGGGAAGUAUUUACUGGCAAAGCCCGGGAAAAAACUGAGAGGACAGGCACCUUUCUCUUCAAGACUUAUCUGCUCUAAGUCUCCAAAGAAACGGUUCUCAUGGAGAUGCAGCCUGGUGAGCCCUCAAACCAGGUGAAAGUCAGGCAGCACCGAAUUCCAACCUUGGGACCCCUGAGCAAGUCACUUCACCACUCUGUUCCUGAGGUGCCACCUUAUCUACAAUGUGGGGAAUAAGAGUUGCCUUUCCUACUUCACAAGGCAAGGAAGCAGUGUGGGAUCAAACUACAAGGAAUCCCUAAUCCUAAGCCUGGGGAGACCGAGGUCAUAGAAUUGGAAGCACCUUGGUGAUUAUUGCAGG
This is a long non-coding RNA of Eubalaena glacialis (North Atlantic right whale), 780 nucleotides long. RefSeq lists it as uncharacterized. Lineage: Eukaryota; Metazoa; Chordata; Mammalia; Artiodactyla; Balaenidae. The transcript is spliced from 3 exons. The record is from RefSeq and is a predicted model, not a curated record.